RNAcentral lists this ribosomal RNA (561 nucleotides) under uncultured bacterium. RNAcentral's name for it is "partial 16S ribosomal RNA". It matches the Rfam family "Bacterial small subunit ribosomal RNA", at positions 355 to 906 of the family's 1533-position model. The record is from RNAcentral.
UGGGGAAUUUUGGACAAUGGGCGAAAGCCUGAUCCAGCAAUGCCGCGUGUGUGAAGAAGGCCUUCGGGUUGUAAAGCACUUUUGUCUGGAAAGAAAUCCUUGGCUCUAAUACAGUCGGGGGAUGACGGUACCGGAAGAAUAAGCACCGGCUAACUACGUGCCAGCAGCCGCGGUAAUACGUAGGGUGCAAGCGUUAAUCGGAAUUACUGGGCGUAAAGCGUGCGCAGGCGGUUUGCUAAGACCGAUGUGAAAUCCCCGGGCUCAACCUGGGAACUGCAUUGGUGACUGGCAGGCUAGAGUAUGGCAGAGGGGGGUAGAAUUCCACGUGUAGCAGGUGAAAUGGUGUAGAGAUGUGGAGGAAUACCGAUGGCGAAGGCAGCCCCCUGGGCCAAUACUGACGCUCAUGCACGAAAGCGUGGGGAGCAAACAGGAUUAGAUACCCUGGUAGUCCACGCCCUAAACGAUGUCAACUAGUUGUUGGGGGAUUCAUUUCCUUAGUAACGUAGCUAACGCGUGAAGUUGACCGCCUGGGGAGUACGGUCGCAAGAUUAAAACUCAAAU